GCAGUCGAGCGGUAGCACAGAGAGCUUGCUCUCGGGUGACGAGCGGCGGACGGGUGAGUAAUGUCUGGGAAACUGCCUGAUGGAGGGGGAUAACUACUGGAAACGGUAGCUAAUACCGCAUAACGUCGCAAGACCAAAGUGGGGGACCUUCGGGCCUCAUGCCAUCAGAUGUGCCCAGAUGGGAUUAGCUAGUAGGUGGGGUAAUGGCUCACCUAGGCGACGAUCCCUAGCUGGUCUGAGAGGAUGACCAGCCACACCGGAACUGAGACACGGUCCAGACUCCUACGGGAGGCAGCAGUGGGGAAUAUUGCACAAUGGGCGCAAGCCUGAUGCAGCCAUGCCGCGUGUAUGAAGAAGGCCUUCGGGUUGUAAAGUACUUUCAGCGAGGAGGAAGGCAUUAAGGUUAAUAACCUUAGUGAUUGACGUUACUCGCAGAAGAAGCACCGGCUAACUCCGUGCCAGCAGCCGCGGUAAUACGGAGGGUGCAAGCGUUAAUCGGAAUUACUGGGCGUAAAGCGCACGCAGGCGGUCUGUUAAGUCAGAUGUGAAAUCCCCGGGCUCAACCUGGGAACUGCAUUUGAAACUGGCAGGCUUGAGUCUUGUAGAGGGGGGUAGAGUUCCAGGUGUAGCGGUGAAAUGCGUAGAGAUCUGGAGGAAUACCGGUGGCGAAGGCGGCCCCCUGGACAAGACUGACGCUCGGUGCGAAGCGUGGGAGCAACAGGAU
Molecule: ribosomal RNA, 724 nt
Filed under: uncultured bacterium
Lineage: Bacteria
Description: bacterial SSU rRNA
Rfam family: Bacterial small subunit ribosomal RNA
Source: RNAcentral